RNAcentral lists this microRNA precursor (58 nucleotides) under Panagrellus redivivus. Its description in RNAcentral is "microRNA prd-mir-7918d precursor". It matches the Rfam family "mir-7918 microRNA precursor family". The record is from miRBase by way of RNAcentral. Lineage: Eukaryota; Metazoa; Nematoda; Chromadorea; Rhabditida; Panagrolaimidae.
AUUUGGCUCUAAAAUCUUGCUGUGGGCAUUGAAAUCCAGCAAGUUUCAGAGCUUUUUG